RNAcentral lists this ribosomal RNA (445 nucleotides) under uncultured bacterium. Its description in RNAcentral is "SSU rRNA". It matches the Rfam family "Bacterial small subunit ribosomal RNA", at positions 26 to 518 of the family's 1533-position model. The record is from RNAcentral.
AGAACGAACGCUGGCGGCAUGCCUAACACAUGCAAGUCGAACGAGACCUUCGGGUCUAGUGGCGCACGGGUGCGUAACGCGUGGGAAUCUGCCCUUAGGUACGGAAUAACAGUGAGAAAUUACUGCUAAUACCGUAUGAUGCCUUCGGACCAAAGAUUUAUCGCCUAGGGAUGAGCCCGCGUAGGAUUAGCUAGUUGGUGGGGUAAAGGCCUACCAAGGCGACGAUCCUUAGCUGGUCUGAGAGGAUGAUCAGCCACACUGGGACUGAGACACGGCCCAGACUCCUACGGGAGGCAGCAGUGGGGAAUAUUGGACAAUGGGCGAAAGCCUGAUCCAGCAAUGCCGCGUGAGUGAAGAAGGCCUUCGGGUUGUAAAGCUCUUUUACCCGGGAAGAUAAUGACUGUACCGGGAGAAUAAGCCCGGCUAACUCCGUGCCAGCAGCCGC